Hypanus sabinus (Atlantic stingray) is the source of this 5323-nucleotide RNA transcript. It is a transcript of the gene named aldehyde dehydrogenase 8 family, member A1, with no coding region annotated. NCBI's taxonomy places the organism in Eukaryota, Metazoa, Chordata, Chondrichthyes, Myliobatiformes, Dasyatidae. The transcript has 2 exons. The record is from RefSeq and is a predicted model, not a curated record.
AUUGGGACCACUUCUUUUCACAUUAUAUGUUAAUGAUUUGCAUGACAGAAUUGAUGACUUUAUGACCAAGUUUGCAGAGCAGACUUGAUGGGCUAAGUGGCCUAAUUCUGCUCCUAUGUCUUACAGUCUUAUGGACAAAUAUUUCAUCUACUGUGGGGGCUGGAGGUAUUGUCUGGGUUAAGAUAGGGAUGAGUGGACCAGGGAGUCCAUUCAUCCCUCCACACUCUGUGGAAUCACUUUCAAGAAUUCUAUAAUUCAUGUUGGCAGAUUUAUUCAUUUAUUUAUUCGAUUACUUAUUCAUUCAUCCACUCAUUCAUCUAUUUAUUUAUUAAUUCAUUUAUCUAUUCAUCUAUUUAUUUGUUUAUCUAUUCUUUGUUUCUUCUGUAUUUGCGCAGGUUAUCUUCUUUACCUUUGUAAUUUGUCACUUUUUGUUUAUUGAACCUUAGAAACAAAUCCAUUAAAAGUCUAUGUUAAAAUUGUUUUACUUUCCCUUAAUUAAUGAGGGUUCAAUAUGUUUUGCUGGGGUUCAGGGUGUUCCACUGAACCUGCCAAGUGACUGUCUCUGAGCCAGUUCACUGUGCCAUAUUUAUUAACUAUAAGAAUCAAUGGGAAGGAUAUGGUGGAACGACUAGAGUUCUCUAACAACGCUGGUUUGAUCCUAAACUCUGGAAAUAUUUGAGUGGAGAUUGUUGUUUUCCCCUGUGACUGCCGGAUUCCUUAGGGUGUUCAAUUUCCUCCCUCAUCCCAUUUCUUUGGCCAUUAGUGUGUAGGUGUGUACUAGAUUAGACCAUAAGAGAUAGGAGCAGAAUUAGGCCAUUCAAUCCAUCAAGUCUGCUCCACCAUUUCAUCAUGGCUGAUCCUGGAUCCCCUUCAGCCCCAUACACCUGCCUUCUCGUCAUGUGCUUUGAUGCCCCGAUCAAUCAGGAAUCUAUCAAAUUCCACCUUGAAUAUACCCUCGGACUUGGUUUCCACUGCAGUCUGUGGCAGAGCAUUCCACAGAUUCACCACUCUUUGGCUAAAAGAAAUCAUCCUUACUUCUGCUGUAAAAGUGGACUUGGUGAUGUGUAAUGAACAGGAAUUGAUAAGUGAUCUUGAAGUAAAGGAGCCAUUAGGAAGUAGUGAUCAUAACAUGAUAAGUUUUUAUCUACAAUUUGAGAGGGAUAAGGGCAGAUCAGUGUUGCAAUUAAAUAAAGGAGACUACGGAGCCAUGAGGGAAGAGCUGGCCAAAGUUAAAUGGGCGGAUGCCCUGGCAGGAAAGACAGUGGAUCAGCAGUGGCAGAUAUUCUUGGGGAUAAUACAAAAGAUGCAAAAGCAGUUCAUUCCAAUGAGAAGGAAGGAUUCAAAGAGGGGGAAGGGGCCACAGUGGUUGACAAAGGAAGUCAGAGAUUGUAUAGCAUUAAAGAAAAAGAAGUAUGACAGGGCUAAGAUGAGUGGGAAUACAGAUGAUUGGGAAAGUUUUAAGGAACAGCAUAUCUUAACUAAAAAAGCAAUAUGGAGAGAAAAAAUCAGGUAUGAGCUCAGUCUAGCCAGGAAUAUAAAAGGGUUUAGCAAAAGCUUUUUUUAGCUAUGUGAAGAGAAAGAAGAUAGUUAAGAACAAUGUUGGCCCCUUGAAGAAUGAAUUGGGAGAAAUUGUUAUGGGAAACAGAGAAAUGGCAACAGAAUCUAAUGCGUACUUUAGAUCUGUCUUCACCAGGGAGGACACAAGCAAUCUCCCAGAUGUAUGGAUGGGCCAGGGUCAUAAGAUAUCAGAGGAAUUGAGACAGAUUGACAUUAGGAAAGAAACUGUGAUGAGUAGACUGGUAGGACUGAAGGCUAAUAAAUCCCCGGGUCCAGAUGGUCUGCAUCUGAGGGUUCUAAAAGAGGUGGCUCAGGAAAUUGUGGAUGCAUUGGUAAUCAUUUUCCAAUGUUCCUUAGAUUCAGGAUCAGUUCCUGAAGAUUGGAGAGUGGCUAAUGUUAUCCCACUUUUAAAGAAGGGAGGGAAGGAGAAAACGGAGAACUAUCACCCUGUUAGCCUAAUGUCAGUCGUGGGGAAGAUGCUUGAGUCCAUUAUUAAGGAUGAAAUAGUGGCACAUCUUGAUGGCAGUAAUAGGAUUAGGCCGAGCCAGCAUGGAUUUACCAAGGGCAAAUCAUGCUUGACUAAUCUGUUGGAGUUUUUUGAGGGUGUAACAAGGAUGUUAGAAGAGGGUAAGCCAGUGGAUGUUGUGUACCUAGAUUUUCAGAAGGCAUUCGAUAAUGUGCCACAUAGGAGAUUGGUGAGUAAAAUCAGAGCUCAUGGCAUUGGGGGCAGGGUUUCAACAUGGAUAGAAAACUGGUUGGCAGAUAGAAAGCAAAGGGUAGCAGUGAAUGGGUGUUUCUCGGACUGGCUGGAGGUGACUAGUGGGGUACCACAGGGCUCUGUAUUGGGACCACAGCUCUUUACGAUUUAUGUCAAUGAUUUAGAUGAGGGCAUUGAAAACUAUAUCAGCAAGUUUGCUGACGAUACUAAACUGGGUGGCAGUGUGACAUGCGAAGAGGAUGUUAGGAGAAUACAGGGAGACUUGGAUAGGCUGGGUGAGUGGGCAGAUACUUGGCAGAUGUCAUUCAAUGUGAAUAAAUGUGAAGUUAUCCACUUUGGAAGCAGGAACAAGAGGGCAGAGUAUUGUCUGAACGGUGUCGAGUUAGGUAAGGGAGAAAUGCAAAGAGACCUAGGAGUCCUAGUUCACCAGUCAAUGAAGGUGAAUGAGCAAGUGCAACAGGCAGUGAAGAGGGCAAAUGGAAUGUUGGCCUUUGUUACAAGGGGAAUUGAGUACAAGAGCAAGGAUGUCCUUUUGCAUUUGUACAGGGCCCUGAUGAGACCACACCUGGAAUAUUGUGUACAGUUUUGGUCUCCAGGUUUAAGGAAGGACAUUCUGGCAAUUGAGGAAGUGCAGCGUAGAUUCACUAGGUUGAUUCCUGGGAUGGCAGGGCUGUCUUACACCGAGAGAUUGGAGAGAUUGGGCUUGUACACGCUGGAAUUGAGGAGAUUGAGAGGGGAUCUGAUUGAAACGUUUAAGAUAAUUAAAGGAUUUGAUAGGAUUGAGGCAGGAAAUAUGUUCCAGAUGUUGGGAGAGUCCAGUACCAGAGGGCAUGGAUUGAGAAUAAGAGGUCAGUUAUUUAAAACAGAGUUGAGGAAGAGCUUCUUCUCCCAGAGAGUUGUGGAGGUGUGGAAUGCACUCGGAAGAUGGUGGAGACCAAUUCUCUGGAUGCUUUCAAGAAGGAGCUAGAUAGAUAUCUGAUGGAUAGGGGAAUCAAGGGAUAUGGGGACAAGGCAGGGACUGGGUAUUGAUAGUGAAUGAUCAGCCAUGAUCUCAGAAUGGCGGUGCAGACUCGAGGGGCCGAAUGGUCUCCAUCUGCACCUAUUGUCUAUUGUCUAAAAGGUCACCCCUCAAUUUUGAGGCUGUGCCCUCUAGUUUUGGAUUCCCUCACCAUAGGGAACAUCCCCUCCACAUCCACCCUAUCUAGUCUUUUCAACAUUUGGUAGGUUUCAAUGAGAUCCCCCCGCAUUCUUCUAAAUUCCAGUGGGCACAGGCCCAAAGCUGCCAAACGUUCCUCAUAUGUUAACCCCUUCAUUCCUGGAAUCAUCCUUGUGAAUCUCCUGUGGACUCUCUCCAAUUACAACACAUCCUUUCUGAGAUAUGAGGCCCAAGACUGUUGACAAUACACCAAGUGCAGCCUGACUAGUGUCAUAUAAAGCCUCAGUAUUAUCUCCUUGAUAUACUAUUUCCCUUGAAAUAAAUGUCAACAUUGCAUUUGCCUCCUUUCUAUGAAAUAACCUUCUGGGAGUCCUGCACACGACUCCAAGUCCCUCUGCACUUGUGAUGUUUGAACAUUCUCUUCAUUUUGAUAAUAACCUGCACUAUUGUUCCUUUUACCAAAAUGCAUUAUUGUACAUUUCCCAACACUGUAUUCCAUCUGCCACUUUUUUGCCCAUUCUUCCAAUUUGUCUAAGCCCAGCUGCAAUCGCAUUGCUUCCUCAGAACUUCCUAAACUCCCCCACCUCUCUUUGUAUCAUCUGCAAACUUUGCCACAAAGCUAUCAAUUCCAUUAUCUAAGUCAUUGACAAACAAUGUGAGGUUCCAGUAUUGACCUCUGAGGAACACCUCUUGUCACUAGCAGCCAACCAGAAAAGGCUCCCUUUAUUCCCACUCACUGCUCCUGCCUGUCAGCCAUUCCUCUGUCCAUGCCAGUGUCUUUCCUGUAACACUAACAGGAUUUUAUCUUGUUAAGCAGCCUCACUUGACUUAUUUUAUCGUUAGUCUCCAAGUGUCCAGAAACUUCAUCCUUAAUAAUAGACUCCAACACUUUCCCAACCACUAAGGUUUGCCUAACUGGCCUAUUAUUUCCUUUAUUUUGUCUACCUCCCUUCUUAGAGAGUGGAGUGACAUUUUCAGUUUUUCAGUUCUCUGGGAGCAUGCCAGAAUCAAAUCAUUCUUAAAAGAUCAUGACCAAUGCAUCAGUAAUCUCUUCAGCUCCUCUCUCAUGUCUCAGUAAUUCCCUUUAUUCCAUUGCGAUACUGAUACAUGUGACUUGUGUUUCUUCCUUUCAAAUUGCAGUAUGAAUUCAAUCAUAUUUGAUCACUGCCUCGGGAGGUUUUCUUUGCGUUAAACUGACUAAUAAAAUCUGGGUUAUUACACAACACCAACCUCAGAUAGUCCUUCCCCCAGUAGGCUUGAGCACACUGCUCUAAAAAGCCAUCUCAAUGGCGUUCAACAAAUUCCCUCUUGCGAUCCAACCUGAUUUUCCCAAUCCCCUUGCAUAUUGAAGUCCCCUAUUACAAUUGUGACAUUAUCCUUGUUAUAUGCCCUUUCCAGCUCCAUUUGCAAUCUCAACCCCAGAUCUUGGCUACUAUUUGGAGAAACAUUAUGAUGCCCAUAAUGUUUUUUUUUAACCCUUGCAAUUUCUUAACUCCAUCCACAAAGAUUCGACAUUCUCGGACCCUAUGCCACCUUUUUCUAAAGAUGUAAUUCUAUUUCUCACCAAUAGAGCCGCACCGCCGCCUAGCCUUCCUGCCUGGCCUGGGUGGGGGGAUUCUGGAGGACUUGAAGGUAAUAUAAGAUUCCCACAGGUCCAAAACUGCAGUUGCUCACGAGAGUCAUGAAUGGGCGGCACCUUCGGCUGCCAAUUGGAAGAGGGCAUCGCUGAUUGACGUUCGUGUUUGUCGUCUGGGCGCUGGUGACUGGCUGCUGCAGUAGUCAUUCAACAGCUCUGCGGGGCUGAACAGCGCCGAGCGGUUCAAAGGGGGCUGUCGCUGAACCUGUCAGUGUCAGGUCGCUUCGCGUAGCUGAGCUGCUGAGAAACAGGAAAA